UACGUAGGGUGCGAGCGUUGUCCGGAAUUAUUGGGCGUAAAGAGCUCGUAGGCGGUUUGUCGCGUCGGCCGUGAAAACUGGAGGCUUAACCUUCAGCUUGCGGUCGAUACGGGCAGACUGGAGUACUGCAGGGGAGACUGGAAUUCCUGGUGUAGCGGUGGAAUGCGCAGAUAUCAGGAGGAACACCGGUGGCGAAGGCGGGUCUCUGGGCAGUAACUGACGCUGAGGAGCGAAAGCGUGGGGAGCGAACAGG
Molecule: ribosomal RNA, 253 nt
Filed under: uncultured bacterium
Lineage: Bacteria
Description: partial 16S ribosomal RNA
Rfam family: Bacterial small subunit ribosomal RNA
Source: RNAcentral